GGCAGACGCGAAGGCAGGGGGCGUGUAAGGGAUGGCCCGGAGUUGGUUCACCGUGCGGGAGAAUCAACACGCCAGGAUCGGUCUCAGAAGCGGCAACAAUGCCCCUGCGGCCAGCGUAGUCUCCGACGGGGGGAGGGAAAGGCGGCGAACACCGGCACCCCCUCCCUCCUCUCUGCAACAGGUCAGCAGAGUGGACGAUUAUUACAGUGGACCUGUCUAACACUUCACUGGAUGUGCUAUUGUUGCAUAUGGAACUGCACUAUUUACCACUGCUAUCCCGUCUCUCCAUUGACUCUUCUCGAUAAUCUAUGUAAGGGAGAUUAUUUUUCCCCAUUUGUUCUUCAAAUUUUGCAAGUGUCUCUACUGCACUGGUAUCCACCUGUCCUCUGAAGCAGGGAGAGCAAGAGAGUUAGGAGCUGUGCCCACCCCACUUUUACCCAGUCCAGUUCUUGCGGUAUCUGUGCCCUUCCAGAAGAAACCCCCCAGCUAAGAGAGAAACCAGCUGCACCCUUCCCGUGGCAACUUCUUUUGUCUCUCAUAAGUACCGGUCGUUAUGGUUUCUUAGGGACAGAUGGUACAAAAUUCCAUGAUAGAAAGAAACAAAGGGAAAAAUCCUAAACCCCAACACUAUGUUAUCCAGGCCACAGAUUUAUAGGGGCCCCUCUGGAGCAGCAAAGGAGACCUACAGGUCUAUAUCAUUGAUUAGAAAGGGAGGAAGAAGAAUAAGA
Molecule: long non-coding RNA, 728 nt
Organism: Catharus ustulatus (Swainson's thrush)
Lineage: Eukaryota; Metazoa; Chordata; Aves; Passeriformes; Turdidae
Exons: 3
Source: RefSeq, a predicted model, not a curated record